AUGAUUUACUUUAUCUGUCCAUCUAUCUACCUGUUUAUCUAUCAUCUGUCUACCUAUGUAUCCAUUAUCUAUCUUUCUAUCUAUCUAUCUAGUCUACCAGUCUCUAUCUAUCUAUCUGUCAUCUGUCUAUCAUUUGUCUACCUGUCUAUCCAUCUAUCAUCUGUCUACUUGUCUAUCAUCUAUCUACCUGUCUAUCUACCUAUCAUGUCUAUCUAUCUAUCACAUUUACCUGUCUAUCAUCUGUCUACCUAUCUAUCUAUUAUCUAUCUAUCUAUCUAUCUAUCUAUCUAUCUAUGUAUCUACCUAUCAUCUGUCUGUCUAUCAUCUCUCUGUCUAUCAUCAUCUGUCUACCUAUCUAUCUACCUAUCAUCUGUCUAUUAUCUAUCUAUCUAUCUAUCUAUCUAUCUAUCUAUCUAUCUACCUAUCAUCUGUCUGUCUAUCAUCUCUCUGUCUAUCAUCAUCUGUCUACCUAUCUAUCUACCUAUCAUCUGUCUAUUAUCUAUCUAUCUAUCAUCUGUCUACCUAUCAUCUAUCUACCUACCUAUUAUCUAUCUAUCUAUCUAUCUAUCUAUCUAUCUGUCUAUCAUCACUCUAUCUACCUGUCUAUCAUCUGUCUAUCAUCUGUCUAUCUCUCUAUCUAUCAUCUGUCUGUCUAUCUAUCUAUCUAUCUAUCUAUCUAUCUAUCUACCUAUCUAUCUAUCAUCUCUCUAUCAUCUGUCUACCUGUCUGUCUAUCAUCUAUCUAUCAUCUGUCUACCUAUCUAUCUAUCAUCUCUCUAUCUACCUAUCUACUUGUCUAUCUAUCAUCUAUGUAUCUAUGUAUCUAUCUAUAAUCUAUCUACCUAUCAUCUAUCUAUCUAUCAUCUGUCUACCUAUCUAUCAUCUCUCUCUCUCUCUCUAUCUAUCUACCUAUCAUCUAGCUAUCUUUAUCUAUCAUCUGUCUACAUGUCUAUCUGUCUGUCUACCUGUCUAUGUAUCAUCUGUCUACCCGUCUAUUAUCUAUCUAUUCUAUCUAUCUAUCUAUCUAAUCUAUCGUCUACCUGUCUAUCAUCUAUCUAUCAUCUAUCGUGUCUACCUGUCUAUCUAUGAUCUGUUUAUCUAUCUAUCUAUCUAUCUAUCUAUCUAUCAUCUGUCUACCAGUCUAUCUAUCUAUCUAUCUAUCUAUCAUCUGCCUAUCUAG
This 1179-nucleotide long non-coding RNA is filed under the name Papio anubis (olive baboon). Its description in RNAcentral is "lncRNA (ENSPANG00000040786.1)". Lineage: Eukaryota; Metazoa; Chordata; Mammalia; Primates; Cercopithecidae. The record is from RNAcentral.